AGAACGAACGCUGGCGGCAUGCCUAAUACAUGCAAGUCGAACGAACUCUUCGGAGUUAGUGGCGCACGGGUGCGUAACGCGUGGGAAUCUGCCCUUGGGUUCGGAAUAACAGUUGGAAACGACUGCUAAUACCGGAUGAUGACGAAAGUCCAAAGAUUUAUCGCCCAGGGAUGAGCCCGCGUAGGAUUAGCUAGUUGGUGAGGUAAAGGCUCACCAAGGCGACGAUCCUUAGCUGGUCUGAGAGGAUGAUCAGCCACACGUGGGACUGACGACACGGCCCAGACUCCGUACGGGAGCAGCAGUAGGAUAUGACAGUGGCAAGCCUGAUCCAGCAAUGCCGCGUAGAGUGAGU
Molecule: ribosomal RNA, 352 nt
Filed under: uncultured soil bacterium
Lineage: Bacteria
Description: bacterial SSU rRNA
Rfam family: Bacterial small subunit ribosomal RNA
Source: RNAcentral